CAGCAGCCACGGGAAUGCGUAGGGUGCGAGCGUUAAUCGGAUUUACUGGGCGUAAAGCGUGCGCAGGCGGCCCGUUAAGGCAGGUGUGAAAUCCCUGGGCUCAACCUAGGAAUUGCGCUUGUGACUGGCGGGCUCGAGUACGGUAGAGGGGGGUGGAAUUCCUGGUGUAGCAGUGAAAUGCGUAGAGAUCAGGAGGAACACCGAUGGCGAAGGCAGCCCCCUGGGCCUGUACUGACGCUCAUGCACGAAAGCGUGGGGAGCAAACAGGAUUAGAUACCCCCGUAGUCCCUGUCUCUUAUAC
RNAcentral lists this ribosomal RNA (301 nucleotides) under uncultured bacterium. RNAcentral describes it as "partial 16S ribosomal RNA". It matches the Rfam family "Bacterial small subunit ribosomal RNA", at positions 509 to 807 of the family's 1533-position model. The record is from RNAcentral.